AGAAGUGCAGCGAAAAAAGAAUAAACCUGUCACUUAUAUACAUACAGUGUUUCAUUUUUUUAUUUCCAACAUACUUCUGGCAUUUUGCUAUUUUUUAACAUUUUACGCAUUUUUCGUGGGCGAUGACAUUGCGAAUUCAAUUAUCUUCUAUUUUCAAUAUGCCAUUUUAGAUUUGAGGUUAUAUUGUCAACCUCAAUCUGAAAGAAGUAUAGCUCUUGAUAGAUAUGGUAGAAGACAAAAAAUAUGAGAUUGCAAGUCGUAUCGAGUGCGAUGGAUACCAUGGUACGUUAAAAUACGUCGGGCCCGUGGGAGAUACAAAAGGAGAAUGGUUGGGCAUAGAUUGGGAUGAUUUGACUCGUGGCAAGCACAAUGGCACGUACCAAGGAAUAGAGUAUUUUCAAGCCAGACAUUCCACAUCAGGCUCGUUUAUCCGACCAGGCAAAGCUAAGUUUGGAAUAUCUUGCCCAAAGGCCAUUGAGAUGCGUUAUGGGUUGAUUAAUGAUGAAUUUGCAGGCAUAAACAGAGAUGAGAUAUCUAGUUUAAGGAAGGAGAUCAAUGCACCGUUCUUAGAACUUGUCGGUUUUUCUAAAGUGAACAGAAAGCAAAGUAAAUUUGACGAGUUAAAAAUAGUAUGGUUAAGGGAACAAUAUGUGAGCGAUGCAGGAAAGCCAGGGGAAUUGAAAAACUUGUGUCCGAAUAUAGAAGAGUUAGAUAUAUCAAAAAAUUUAAUAAAUUCAUGGAAGAUUGUAAUAGAAAUAUGUUCUCAGCUUCAUCUUCUUGUGCGUCUUAAUGUCAGUGAAAACUAUCUGCCCAUUAAAGAUGUGACAAGAUGGAAAGAUUUAUUCGCAACAGUUAAACACUUAACUCUAGCUAGAAUGAAUUACAACUGGUCUGAUAUUCAGCAGUGUAUAUCUAUGUUUCCAUCGAUUGAGGAACUUUCCAUAUCCUUCAACGUCGUCAAGAUUAUAGAAGACAUACCAGCAAAUACUAAUUUAAUAAAGAUAGUCACGUUAAUACUCGAAGGAAAUUUAAUAUCAAGUUGGGACGAGAUACUUAAAUUAGGUUUCCUGCCGUGCUUGGAAUAUCUUAAUUUAAACCUAAAUAAACUAGACAAUAUUAGAUUUCCAUCGCCAACGUUAACAAAUGAUGCCAAGACUGCACUUUUUCCUUCUUUACGUCAGCUACACAUUUCGGAAAAUCAUAUAUCUGAGUGGGAAUCAAUUAGUGAAUUGGAUAAGCUAUUGAAUCUAGAAGAUUUAAAAUUUCGAGAAAAUCCUAUUUUGAAGAACGAGACUGCAGAGACCGCGCGACAAUUAAUAAUUGCAAGAAUAGCGAAAUUACAGAUGUUGAACAGUAUAAAAAUAUGUAAUAAGGAAAGAAGAGGCGCUGAAUAUGAUUACUUGAAAUUAUAUCUGCCAAAAUGGUCGGAAACUGAAAAUAAUCCAGAGAAGAGGAUAUCAUUUGUAAAUGAACAUCCGCGAUAUCCGACUCUAGUCGAUAGUACGUUACAUUCUCUGUAAUAGUAAUAUCUAUCCAGGGUUGGGUAACUUAAUUGUUUUCUUCAGCCAAGUUAAAAGUUAAUAACUAUUUCACUUGAAUACGGAACUGCAGAUAUUCCCUCGACUAAGCCAAAAAUAGAAAUGAUUUCCAACGUAAUCACGGUAGAAUUUCUAUGUCCGGACGAUCCACGUCAGCCAA
RNAcentral lists this unclassified non-coding RNA (1698 nucleotides) under Ooceraea biroi (clonal raider ant). RNAcentral describes it as "tubulin-specific chaperone E, transcript variant X2". Lineage: Eukaryota; Metazoa; Arthropoda; Insecta; Hymenoptera; Formicidae. The record is from RNAcentral.